AAUUAGAAAGCGAAGUUUUGCACUUAGUUUCGGCCUAAGCUUUGACUAGUUAGUCUCUAAUUU
This 63-nucleotide transfer RNA is filed under the name Birgus latro. RNAcentral describes it as "tRNA-Arg". The record is from RNAcentral. Lineage: Eukaryota; Metazoa; Arthropoda; Malacostraca; Decapoda; Coenobitidae.